ACCCCCCACCCAAAACCAAAAAAUCCCCCUUCCAUCCCAAAAUCUCUAUUCCCUCGUAUUAGCUAGGUCUUAACUUAGGAAAAAAUAAUGGAAAAAGAUAACCCUAGCCAAGCCCUCUUUCAUUCUUGCUCCCUGACCUAUUCGUCGUGCAAAACCCUCGUUGUCUUGCUUCAACCAUCUCAGUGUGCCGUCACCGUCGCCGUCGCCAUUCCAUCUUCUCAAACGCAGAACUAGAACCAGUUGCCAGUUGCCAGUUACGCAGAACCAGUUUCACGAAGUUGCCGCGCCUUCACCGGUCACCAAUUCGUCACCGCUCUGCCACUCCUUUGUCACCUCUUUGCUGUGCUUCGUUUCCAUCUUCGCCGCCGUUCCUAGUUGUUGUUCCCAAAGAUAGCGAACGAGGAGUGCAUUUUAGAAUGAUUGGUAGCUUUAUUUGUGCAAUGGUGAUUGGUUAGAACUUGAGAAGAGGAUUAGGGAGCGAGCAGAAAGGGAGUUGCUGCAAGCUACUGGUUAGGCAUAUGCUAAGGAUUAAUGGUAUUCUGUUGGGAAAUAUUUAUAAGUUGAUGGUGGCAAGAAGAAGGGUGGAGGUGGAUUUCAAGUGAGGAAGAGAAAGGUGAAGACCAAGUUGACAGGCAAUGGAGCUUGAUAAAUGAGGAUGACAUAUCUAUGAAGAAAAUAUUUUUCAUAGCAAUAUGAGAUGGGAUGGGUCACAUAUAUAUAUUUUUAGUUAUCUAAAUGUAAUAUUUUAAUGUGUUCUGUACUUUUUGUAAACAGACUUUAUCCGGUAUUAUAUGUAAUGGAUAAAUUACACUCUACCUUUAUUUGUGUUGUUUGGACUAAAAGCAUAUCUAGCUUAAAAUAUAAUUUUUAUGAUUUA
Arachis ipaensis is the source of this 877-nucleotide non-coding RNA. Lineage: Eukaryota; Viridiplantae; Streptophyta; Magnoliopsida; Fabales; Fabaceae. The record is from RefSeq and is a predicted model, not a curated record.